Molecule: long non-coding RNA, 3198 nt
Filed under: Sus scrofa (pig)
Lineage: Eukaryota; Metazoa; Chordata; Mammalia; Artiodactyla; Suidae
Description: lncRNA (ENSSSCG00000059249.1)
Source: RNAcentral
UAAAGCAAGGAUUCUUAGAAAAUGAAAUUUAUUUACAUACAACUUAAAAUACAUGGAACUGAAACCAGCUUUGAAAGUAUGAGACAGUCAUAAAUAUCAGAUUUUCAUACUGUUUCUCUAAUUAAAAAGGCAUAUCCAUGGCAGAACUUGGAUUGUAUGUUUCAUCUCUUUCCUCAUGUGCCUUUGAUUAAUACUUGAGUUUCAAUCAUAAAUUCUUUAGGCUGGUAAACAGAUAUUCAGGGAAGCCAGAGAAAUCACCUGUAUGAAGAAUAAAUAAUGCAGAGUCACAGCUGCGCCUAUAUGUCAAAUUUCACUUGCUUCAUCCCAAGCUUAUUAUGCUCAUCCUCAGCUUCAAACUCAGCCCAUUUACAUGGCCUUAGUAAAUCCUACAAGUCUUUCCCUACCUUUUCACAAGAAAGUACCUAGGAUUGAUUACUUUUUAUUUUUUAAAUCUUUUGGAAAUUCUUAUUUUUUUUAAAUGCUACACUCUUUAAAUCUGUAUUAUCUAUUCAUUAAAUUAUUUUAAUGCAUUCAUUCAAUAUUUUAAUUUUCACAUGUGUUUUAUUUUUUAUUUUUGGCCAUGCCAGUAGCAUGUGGAAAUUCCCAGGCCAGGGAUCAAACCCACGUCACAGCAGCUACCUGAGCCACAGAAGUGACAAUGCUAGAUCCUUCACUGGCUGCACCACAAGAGACUCCAAAAGCUCUUAUUUUUAAUUACACAGAGUACAUGGAUACAUUGUUGGUACAAAAUCCAAACAUUACAGAUCAAGCUAAAGCCUCCCUUCCCUUCUACCUAGUUUUCUGUGUAUGCUUGUAAUCUUCCAGACCUUUUCUAUGUAUCUGUUGGAAUGUGUAGAUAGAGUUUAAAAAGUUUAGCUCUACCCUGAAUUACAAAGAGAAAUCAUUUAUGUUUAGAGUGCUCAUUCAUACUCAUUCUAAUAGCAUGAAAAAAAUUACUCCAGUGCAUCAGGCCCUUCCAUCCUCUCUUCCACCAUGGCUGCAUUGAAAUGUGAUGGUAGUUAAGGAAGCAUGUGGUCCUCCAGUCAUUUGUCCCAUAGGCAUUUGUGGAGAAAAGCCUGUUCCCAUCUGCCUGGCUCUUUGGAACUGAGACUGCCUUUGCCACAACAAGAUUGGUACAAUAAGAAUCUGUCUGUAGUGCCUGUUAAAGUAGUAGCAUUGGAGAGAGUGUAGCCUUUUGAAAGGCAGGGAUGGGAGUAAGGAGAGACAGAACAAGCCAGGCAGAAAAUGCAACCAGAAAGGGCUGGGGAGGAAUUUCUGAGAAAGCUGGAUAGUAGGUCUGUGCAUAAGAAUAAGAGAAGCAAAUGUAGUAGAAAAUCAGAUUGCAAAGAUAGGGUGGAACUACCCUAAUAUUUUACCCAUAAACAAGAAAAUAUAGUGAUAAAUUCGACAUUUCCUAGUUUCCUUGACAAGUAGCCAUUAACUAAAAGAAGACUAUUAACCAUGAGAAACUGAGUAAAGAUUUGGAGUGAUUGGAUGAACAUAGAUAGCCUCGCCCUCAGUGUUGAUGACAGUCUGCUGAUGGAUUGCUCUGUGAUCCUCCAGCCUAUGCGUGUGCACUGCCAGUGUAUCUGCUGCUUUCCGCUGGCCAGAGCUCUUGCCUGACAACAGCGGCAGUUUGAGACUCUUAAGUCUAUUUUACCAUCCUGUGGAGGUAAGAGUUGGAUAGUUUAUGCAUUGACUUCACAGCCCUUUGGGGAGACUGCCAAAGAAAGCAUGUUUUGGAUAGAAAUCUGAAAAAAAAAAAAUCAAAAGAAAAAAACAAACAAACAAAAAAUUUAAAUACCCAAGGGGAAUUUGGCAUAGGGAUAAGGUUUCACAUCCAGCUCCUCUCUAGGCUCUGCCAUUUAAUCAUCCUCCAGGAGGCAGAGGCUGCCACAGGGAACCAUGGAUAGCGAUUAGUCCUCCUUAGGCUGCAUCUGAAAACAGCCUCCUUUGAUAGGCAGUCAGAAAGUAAUGGGAUUUGGGUUUUAGUUGUAAGGGAAUGGUGGAAAAUGUUACAAACAGCUGACCUCUUGCGCCCCCACUGAAAUGGCUGCCUUCCUCUGCAUAUUUUAUGUUGCUUUGGGGAGAAUGACAAAAGACAGAUGCUUCUUGUUGGAAUGCUAGUUGUUUAAUCAUUCUUUCUAGUCCCCAGACGUUUACUGUAGUUCCUUGGAGCUGACAUCUUGGGCCGUUCCUUGGUUUUCAAUAUCUUGUAAAUGUGUUGUGUUGUGAUUUUCCAUUGCACGGAAUAUGGGAAAAUCUGUGGGAGAAUUUUUUUGAAAAGGUGUUAUGUAGCAGCUGGUGUCCUCAGGUCAGAAGCCUUAAACUGGAAGUGCAUUAACUGUAAACAAACUGUACACUCAUGUAGUCAGACACAAAAUACACAACAUUGUCCAUCUCCUAUCUCCCCCAGAGCAUCAUUCAGUUGUACUAAGAUGCUUACCUCCAUUCCAAGGGUCAGCAGCAACAUACAAACUUCAUCUUUCCAGUAGCACGACCUGUCCACAUAGCACUCACAAAGGAGGAGACCUGCUUCCUCUCCAGGGUCUGUGACUUCCAUGGAACCCCAGGAAACUGUGCAGUAGGCACAAUGACUUUCAGAAACAAAGGGAUACUCUUGUGUCGGCCACAAACUACCCUGCUCAAUAGGUCUCUUGCUCUCCAUUUUCAUAAAGAUAGCAUAAAAGAGAAUAUGAAAAGAUGUCCAUUUCAUCAUGUUAAGGAUCUAGAUAAAUGAUUAAUCUCAUGGUCACAUACAACUGUUUUCCCGGAAGGAUCAUAUUCCUCUUAACAGGCAAGUCAUAAUAGCAAUUUGAAACAUAAUUCAUUUCUCCUCCCCUAAGCAUCUUAACAUUUGAUAGAACUUCACAUUUCUUCUUAUUUUAGUGUAUCUUGUUUAAAUUUAUGUAUUUUUUCUGAUUUUGAGCCUGUGCAUUUUUUUUUCUCUCCCUCUUGGUUAAAUUUAAAGUUUUUGGAGUUCCCAUGGUGGCAUAGUGGAAUUGCAUCUGACUAGUAUCCGUGAGGAUUCAGGUUCAAUCCCUGGCCUCACUCAGUGGGUUGGGGAUCCAGCAUUGCCGUGAGCUGUGGUGUAAGUCACAGAUGCAGCUCAAAUUCCCACACUGCUGUGGCUGUGGCUGUGGCCAGCAGUUGCAGUUCUGAUUCAACCCCUAGCUUAGGAACAUCCAUAUGCCGUGG